This 460-nucleotide ribosomal RNA is filed under the name uncultured bacterium. Its description in RNAcentral is "partial 16S ribosomal RNA". It matches the Rfam family "Bacterial small subunit ribosomal RNA", at positions 338 to 795 of the family's 1533-position model. The record is from RNAcentral.
CCUACGGGAGGCAGCAGUGAGGAAUAUUGGUCAACGGGCGGAAGCCUGAACCAGCCAAGUAGCGUGCAGGAUGACGGCCCUACGGGUUGUAAACUGCUUUUAUACGGGAAUAACGCGCCUUACGUGUAGGGCUUUGCAUGUACCGUAUGAAUAAGGACCGGCUAAUUCCGUGCCAGCAGCCGCGGUAAUACGGAAGGUCCGGGCGUUAUCCGGAUUUAUUGGGUUUAAAGGGAGCGUAGGCCGCAUGUCAAGCGUGCUGUGAAAUGUCCGGGCUCAACCCGGGCCUUGCAGCGCGAACUGGCGUGCUUGAGUCCGCGGAAAGCAGGCGGAAUUCGUCGUGUAGCGGUGAAAUGCUUAGAUAUGACGAAGAACCCCGAUUGCGAAGGCAGCCUGCUGGACUGAAACUGACGUUGAGGCUCGAAAGCGUGGGGAGCAAACAGGAUUAGAUACCCGUGUAGUC